GGGGGCGACCUGGCUUCGACGUGGGUUGCAAAGCAACGCAGGGCAUACCGAGGACCAGUCACCUCGUAAAUCCAUCUGGAAACGCAAUAACUGCGAACGACGAACGUUUCGCUCUCGC
RNAcentral lists this transfer-messenger RNA (118 nucleotides) under Betaproteobacteria bacterium RIFCSPLOWO2_02_FULL_65_20. RNAcentral describes it as "partial transfer-messenger RNA". It matches the Rfam family "transfer-messenger RNA", at positions 1 to 121 of the family's 374-position model. Rfam says of the family: Bacterial tmRNA, also known as 10Sa RNA or SsrA, is named for its dual tRNA and mRNA-like properties. Its role is to liberate the mRNA from a stalled ribosome. To accomplish this part of the tmRNA is used as a reading frame that ends in a translation stop signal. Lineage: Bacteria; Pseudomonadati; Pseudomonadota; Betaproteobacteria. The record is from RNAcentral.